This 617-nucleotide ribosomal RNA is filed under the name Bacillus halotolerans. Its description in RNAcentral is "bacterial SSU rRNA". It matches the Rfam family "Bacterial small subunit ribosomal RNA", at positions 46 to 687 of the family's 1533-position model. The record is from RNAcentral. Lineage: Bacteria; Bacillati; Bacillota; Bacilli; Caryophanales; Bacillaceae.
GCAAUGAGACAUGCACGUCGCACGAGAGGUAUGGUAGCGUGCUCCCUGUGUUAGCGGCGGACGGAUGAGUAACACGUGGGUAACCUGCCUGUAAGACUGGGAUCUCCGGGAAACCGGGGCUAAUACCGGAUGCUUGUUUGAACCGCAUGGUUCAAACAAGGUGGCUUCGGCUACCACUUACGCAUGGACCCGCGGCGCAUUAGCUAGUGGUGAGGUAAUGGCUCACCAAGGCAACGAUGCGUAGCCGACCUGAAAGGGUGAUCGCCACACUGGGACUGACACACGGCCCAAACUCCUACGGGAGGCAGCAAUAUGGAAUUUCGCAAUGGACGAAAGUCUGACGGAGCAACGCCGCGUGAGUGAUGAAGGUUUUGGCCUAAACUCUGUUGUUAGGGAGAACAAGUACCGUUCGAAUAGGUCGGUACUUGAGUACUAACCAAGCCACGGCUAACUACGUGCCCCACCCGCGGUAAUAGUAGCGCAGCGUAUCCAGAAUUAUUGGCGUAAAGGGGUGGCGCGCCUUUCUAAUCUGAUUGAAAGCCCCGGCUCCGGCGAGGGCAUUGGAUACUGGGGACUUACUGCAAGAGGAGAGUGCACUUCCCGUGUAACCGUCAAAU